AUUGAACGCUGGCGGCAUGCCUUACACAUGCAAGUCGAACGGCAGAGGGGGCAACCCCUUGAGAGUGGCGAACGGGUGAGUAAUGUAUCGGAACGUGCCCAGUCGUGGGGAUAACGUAGUGAAAAUUACGCUAAUACCGCAUACGAUCUACGGAUGAAAGCGGGGGAUCGCAAGACCUCGCGCGAUUGGAGCGGCCGAUAUCAGAUUAGGUAGUUGGUGAGGUAAAGGCUCACCAAGCCGACGAUCUGUAGCUGGUCUGAGAGGAUGACCAGCCACACUGGGACUGAGACACGGCCCAGACUCCUACGGGAGGCAGCAGUGGGGAAUUUUUGGGACAAUGGGCGCAAGCCUGAUCCAGCAAUGCCGCGUGCAGGAUGAA
This 379-nucleotide ribosomal RNA is filed under the name uncultured bacterium. Its description in RNAcentral is "bacterial SSU rRNA". It matches the Rfam family "Bacterial small subunit ribosomal RNA", at positions 30 to 412 of the family's 1533-position model. The record is from RNAcentral.